Molecule: long non-coding RNA, 660 nt
Organism: Lynx canadensis (Canada lynx)
Lineage: Eukaryota; Metazoa; Chordata; Mammalia; Carnivora; Felidae
Exons: 4
Source: RefSeq, a predicted model, not a curated record
UCAUAGAAAUUCCUUGUGAGUGAAAGCACUUGAAGAACGCGAGGCCAAGCAGGGACAAGGCCCCGACGGGCUCCGUGAGACUGGGAUUCUCCACGCCACACCAGGCCUGGCAGCGGUGGGAAGUCGGAUGACAAUUCCAACGUUUCCAGGGCUGCGCACAGGAUGACUCCCGGUGGGCAGCCCCAAACACCAGAGCGAAGUUCAGACCCCCAGAUGCCCAACGUUUCAGAAUUUCUCACUUAAACCUGACUGACUGCUUGACCUCGAGAGAAGAAAUCUCCAGCCACAAGCACCGCCCUGCUUUCUUCAACAUCUCCCCACCAUAGAGAUCUACAUCAAGCCCUCUCUCUGGUUCCUGCUGAUGCUGAGACAAGACAAGACGACCUUGGGCUUUGGCUGCUGCGCAUGACCUCAUGGAGGUGUUUUCCAACUGGAUUGCUUAAGCACCCGAGCCUUAAGGGGCAGCUUGAUGAUGAAGAACUGAUCUUCCCUCUGCGUUUGAAGCACAAAACCUCAUUUUCUGAAGCAAUCCCGAAGACGCCAUCCUGCCCCAACCCUUUGCGCUGAGCCCUUCCAGCCAGCUGAAUGGGCCUGGUGAGAAUAGCCUGCUUUCGUGGAGUCUGAUCGGGAUCCCAAAGCUUUCACUUCCUGUCCGGAUGA